AACGAACGCUGGCGGCAGGCCUAACACAUGCAAGUCGAACGCUGCAGCAAUGCAGAGUGGCAGACGGGUGAGUAACGCGUGGGAACCUUCCCAGUGGUACGGAAUAGCCCAGGGAAACUUGGGGUAAUACCGUAUAAGCCCCUAGGGGGGAAAGAUUUAUCGCCAUUGGAUGGGCCCGCGUCGGAUUAGCUAGUUGGUGAGGUAACGGCUCACCAAGGCGACGAUCCGUAGCNGGUCUGAGAGGAUGAUCAGCCACACUGGGACUGAGACACGGCCCAGACUCCUACGGGAGGCAGCAGUGGGGAAUAUUGGACAAUGGGCGAAAGCCUGAUCCAGCCAUGCCGCGUGAGUGACGAAGGCCUUAGGGUUGUAAAGCUCUUUUGGCGGGGACGAUAAUGACGGUACCCGCAGAAUAAGCUCC
This 421-nucleotide ribosomal RNA is filed under the name uncultured bacterium. RNAcentral's name for it is "bacterial SSU rRNA". It matches the Rfam family "Bacterial small subunit ribosomal RNA", at positions 29 to 494 of the family's 1533-position model. The record is from RNAcentral.